Molecule: unclassified non-coding RNA, 177 nt
Filed under: soil metagenome
Description: partial internal transcribed spacer 1
Source: RNAcentral
AUGAACCUUUGAGGGUUGAGCUGGCGUUUAUUCGCAUGUGCUUGCCCUCUCAUCCUUUAUACACCUGUGCACUUUGAAGGGAGACAUUAGUAGACAUUCACUUGUCGAAGGUAUCUCCCUUACACUACAUACUCUAAUGAUUACUUUGAAUGUUAAACGCUUAACAGCAUUUAAUUA